RNAcentral lists this ribosomal RNA (406 nucleotides) under uncultured bacterium. Its description in RNAcentral is "partial 16S ribosomal RNA". It matches the Rfam family "Bacterial small subunit ribosomal RNA", at positions 28 to 526 of the family's 1533-position model. The record is from RNAcentral.
GAUGAACGCUAGCUACAGGCUUAACACAUGCAAGUCGAGGGCGGGGCGCAGGGGUGAGUAGCACGUAUCCCACCUGCCCUGUACUCGGGGAUAGCCUUUCAAGAGAAAGAUUAAUACCCGAUAUAAAGGAUGGGGAUGCGUUCGAUUAGGUUGUUGGUGAGGUAACGGCCCACCAAGCCUUCGAUGGAUAGGCGUUCUGGGUGGAAGGUCCCCCACAUUGGAACUGAGACCCGGUCCAAACUCCUACGGGAGGCAGCAGUGAGGAAUAUUGGUCGAUGGGCGCUAGCCUGACCCAGCCAAGUAGCGUGAAGGAUGAAGGCUUAUGGGUCGUAAACUUCUUUUAUAUAAGAAUAUGUAUUAUAUGAAUAAGGAUCGGCUAACUCCGUGCCAGCCGCCGCGGUAAUUC